AGACGACGCUGGCGGCGUGCUUAACACAUGCAAGUCGAACGGUGAACCAGAGCUUGCUCUGGGGAUCAGUGGCGAACGGGUGAGUAACACGUGGGCAACCUGCCCCCAGACUCUGGGAUAACCUCGGGAAACCGAUGCUAAUACCGGAUACGACCACUUCGGACAUCCGACGGUGGUGGAAAGUUUUUCGGUCUGGGAUGGGCCCCGCGGCCUAUCAGCUAGUUGGUGGGAUAAUGGCCUACCAAGGCGACGACGGGUAGCCGGCCUGAGAGGGCGACCGGCCACACUGGAACUGAGACACGGUCCAGACUCCUACGGGAGGCAGCAGUGGGGAAUAUUGCACAAUGGGCGAAAGCCUGAUGCAGCGACGCCGCGUGAGGGACGACGGCCUUCGGGUUGUAAACCUCUUUCAGCAGGGACGAAGCGAAAGUGACUGUACCUGCAGAAGAAGCACCGGCUAACUACGUG
This 468-nucleotide ribosomal RNA is filed under the name uncultured bacterium. Its description in RNAcentral is "bacterial SSU rRNA". It matches the Rfam family "Bacterial small subunit ribosomal RNA", at positions 33 to 507 of the family's 1533-position model. The record is from RNAcentral.